GGCAAGGUAGCUCAGUGGUAGAGCGCUUGCCUUGCAUGCAUGAGACCCUGGGUUCAAUUCCUCAGCACCA
RNAcentral lists this transfer RNA (70 nucleotides) under Dipodomys ordii (Ord's kangaroo rat). It matches the Rfam family "tRNA". Rfam says of the family: Transfer RNA (tRNA) molecules are approximately 80 nucleotides in length. Their secondary structure includes four short double-helical elements and three loops (D, anti-codon, and T loops). Lineage: Eukaryota; Metazoa; Chordata; Mammalia; Rodentia; Heteromyidae. The record is from Rfam by way of RNAcentral.